This 161-nucleotide transfer RNA is filed under the name Microcaldota archaeon. RNAcentral describes it as "tRNA-Ile". The record is from RNAcentral. Lineage: Archaea; Nanobdellati; Microcaldota.
GGGCCCAUAGCUCAGUCUGGUUCAGAGAAGCUUUUUUCUAAAGCGACUGCAACGCCAGUCUUAUAAGCUGGACGUCCGGGGUUCAAAAGAGGGCGAAACUGCGUUUCUCCCUUCUAACCCUCUUCCUUUACGGAAAGGGCUUGAAAAUCCCCGUGGGCCCA